UAUCGGUAUGGGAUGGGGUCGCGUCCUAUCAGCUUGAUGGCGGGGUAACGGCCCACCAUGGCUUCGACGGGUAGCCGGCCUGAGAGGGCGACCGGCCACAUUGGGACUGAGAUACGGCCCAGACUCCUACGGGAGGCAGCAGUGGGGAAUAUUGCACAAUGGGCGCAAGCCUGAUGCAGCGACGCCGCGUGCGGGAUGACGGCCUUCGGGUUGUAAACCGCUUUUGACUGGGAGCAAGCCCUUCGGGGUGAGUGUACCUUUCGAAUAAGCACCGGCUAACUACGUGCCAGCAGCCGCGGUAAUACGUAGGGUGCAAGCGUUAUCCGGAAUUAUUGGGCGUAAAGGGCUCGUAGGCGGUUCGUCGCGUCCGGUGUGAAGGUCCAUCGCUUAACGGUGGAUCCGCGCCGGGUACGGGCGGG
Molecule: ribosomal RNA, 419 nt
Filed under: uncultured Bifidobacterium sp.
Lineage: Bacteria; Bacillati; Actinomycetota; Actinomycetes; Bifidobacteriales; Bifidobacteriaceae
Description: bacterial SSU rRNA
Rfam family: Bacterial small subunit ribosomal RNA
Source: RNAcentral